RNAcentral lists this ribosomal RNA (274 nucleotides) under uncultured bacterium. RNAcentral describes it as "partial 16S ribosomal RNA". It matches the Rfam family "Bacterial small subunit ribosomal RNA", at positions 523 to 796 of the family's 1533-position model. The record is from RNAcentral.
AUACGAAGGUCCCAAGCGUUAUUCGGAAUCACUGGGCGUAAAGAGUACGUAGGCGGUUUGGUAAGUCAGGUGUGAAAUCCCGAAGCUCAACUUCGGAACUGCAUCCGAUACUGCCAGACUAGAGUAAUGGAGAGGCAGGUGGAAUUCUCGGUGUAGCAGUGAAAUGCGUGGAUAUCGAGAGGAAGACCAAUGGCGAAGGCAGCCUGCUGGACAUUUACUGACGCUGGGGUACGAAGGCUAGGGGAGCGAAAGGGAUUAGAAACCCCAGUAGUCC